Long non-coding RNA from Capra hircus (goat), 4276 nucleotides. The record is from Ensembl. NCBI's taxonomy places the organism in Eukaryota, Metazoa, Chordata, Mammalia, Artiodactyla, Bovidae.
GCCCUCCCCCCCCGGGGGACAGAAGGCCGCUCACCUGCCCACGAGUGGGUCCUGAGACCACCGGGAUGGGGCUUGGGCCCAACAGGCUGCAGAAGUCAGGCUGGAGGCCCUGAUGGCGGAUGCUGGGCGGAGACCCGCCAGGCUCAGGAGCCCGCCUCCGCCAGAGGCCCCUGGAGACGGCCCGGGUGGGCCGGGCUGCUGACCAGGCCAGGAGAGGUCCAGUCACAACUGUCGAGUACCCGGAACGAGAGGGCAAGUGCCCAGGGUGCGCUCUCACGCCUCCCGUCUGCACCCGGCCCCGUGAGGGUCAGAGCCUGUGGCCGGUCACACACAGGCCCCGCGUGAGUCACCGGGUGGGCACAGCUGGAGACCCCCUGGACACUUCCAAGGGGGCAGCCUCUGGCCCCGGCCCCUCAGACCAACCGGGAGACAGACAGAGGAGCCCCAGGGCCAACCUCCCAGGGCCUCUGGCCUCGGGCCUCUGACUGGCCACUUGCCCUGUGGGCAGCCCAGUGCCUUUCACAAAGUGCCCACAAGCUGGGGAUUUCCCACCACUCGACAUGAGACUUUAGGGAGAAAAAGUUUCUUGGUGCCACUAACUGAAGCCCAGCGAAUUCCUGGAACACAUGCCUUCAGCCUUAUCCAGUGUGAGAACCAAGGCUGGCGCUCCCUGCCGGGAGGGGGGUGCUGAGCGGCACACCCCCGGCUCUGGGGCCCCCCACCCUCACCAGCUGCCUUGGGGAGGGCUCAGGGGUUCAGUUCCAAGUCUCCCCCCAACCCCUAGCAUCUGCCCGAAACAUUUCCUAGGGAAACUGGGCCAAGAGCUAAGGGCAAUUGGCCCAACUCUCCCAAAGCCGGGGGAGGGGCUGUCUGACGCACCCGGGUCGGGAAGCUGGGUGACCACGGGCACUGGAAGUGCGCUGGCGCCCCUCGAAAGUCCCUGUUUUAUCUUUAGGUGAGCAGCUGCCGGUUGGACCCCCGGGCCUGGAGACGAGGAUGGGAGCCCGGCAUUCACUGUGUCCCCUCGAGCUUGCUGCCUGGGCAUCUUUCCUGCGCACCCACCAGCCCCCUGGGGAGCCCGCCUGAGUGAGACACCUCAGCGCUUCUUGCUGCCUCUUCCCGGGGCCGCCCUACGCCGAGCACAGAGAAGCCAGUGUCCACGCACCACCCCCGCCGCUCCAGCCUCCCGUUGCUGUGCCUGCCCCAGAGCCCACGGCCUCUGCAGACCUGGGGGCGUCACUGGGACUGAACACAAACAGGGCAGCCCUCCCAGGGCGGUGCCUCCUCUGAAGCCCCUUUAUGAGAGCCCCCGGGUGCAUUCCCACCAUGAGCGUGACUCCGGGCCUGCCAGGCAGUGUUCCCAGGAGGCCAGCAGGACACAGUCCACACAGACCGUGGAGACACACGGCAGCUUGUGGGUGCCCUGUUUUAUUCACCACCGUGUGGAGAAGGAAAUGGCAACCCACUCCAGUGUUCUCUCCUGGAGAAUCCCACGUACAGGCGAGUCUGGCAGGCUGCAGUCCGUGGGGUCGCUGAGAAUCGGACACAACCGAGCGACUGAGCAACGUGCCCACCCUGCCCACUGCCCCCCGCACUGUGCCCCUCUGGGGCUGCGACUCGGGCGGGGUUCUCUUCAGAACCUCCCCUCCCUCCACACUCAGGAACCCCAACUGCAAAUAGGCUCCAGGUUGCUGAGUCUGCCCUCUCUCCCCGCCCUCCUUGCCCCGGCAACGAAGGUCCAACCAGCCAGGGACAGACUCCUCUUCCUUGGAUCAUUUGUCCUCCUAGGGUGGGAGGGUAGCCACCACCUGGCAGGGAAGAGGCUUGGGAAAGAGACCACCCCCAGGUGCCUUCGCUGCUCCCUGGGUGUCUGUGUCUGAGCCCCAGCCUUGCCGUCCUGGGAGGUGGGUGACGCGACCGCUAUGCGAGCCUGAGCGCCAUCCCUGCUGUGCGGCCCGCUCCAACCUCCCCACCUCCCCAGAGGGCCAAGGCCUCCUCGAGGGCGGACGGGGUGUGCAGUUACUCUGCAGGUGCCCAGCACAGGAGCCAGGCCCCCCGGCCCUGGGGGACAGCGUGUUGCCCAAGCAGCCAGAGUGCUGCAGUGCCCCCUCCCUGCCUGAGGGCCAUCCCUGAGUGUGCCUCCCUGAGUGUGCCUCCCUGAGUGUGCCUGAGUGUGUCCAGUGUCCAGUGCACGGCCAAGCAGAGCUUCCUGCUCCAGGGCACAGAGCGGACGAGGGACUGUGCCCUCCGGCCUGGCGGGGGGUCAGGGUCCCCAGGAGCCCUGAUUGUGAAGAGGGUGCAGCCAAGACCCCCAGGCUCCGCCCUCCCCUCCUCUUGCUCCAGGAUCCUCCUGACUGGAAUGCUGUCCAGUGUAUCCUUCAGCUUCAGGCAGAGGCCACCCCUGCCUCCCUCACUCCUGACCUUUGGGUUUUUUGUUGAGCGGGGCCAGGCAGCAGGAACUUUCAUCUAUUAACUUCAUCCCUAACCCUAACCUGCUACAGCCUCACAGCCCAGAACCAGCCACUGUGGGGACAGAAGGGAGGGGGAGGGGGAAGGAAGAGGCGGGGGAGGGUGGGGAAGGGGGCGGGGAGGGGCGGGGAGGGGCGAGGGGGGAGGGGAGGGAGAAGGGAAGGGGAGGGGGAGAGGGAGGAGGGCAGGGGCGGGGCGGGGGGGUGGGGGGAGGAUGGGCAGCUCACUACAGCUACUUCCUUUCUUGCACAACCCGCUCCCCAAGAACGAUGACUCACUUGGUUUUCUUUGAACCUGCCUUGUCCCCCACAUCCUUUGGUGUCUGAGAAGCGAGCCUUCCGCGGCUCCGGGAGUCAGGCCGCCUCAGCCCCCGCCCCGACCCCUCAGGCCCCGCUCCAGGCUCUGUCCACCGGGACCGGCCCCUUCUCCUGCAGGCGCUCCCCAGUUCCAGGGAUGUGGGGGGCCGUCUCAGAAACCGCCCUGUCGGGCUGAGGGCGGCUCCGCAGCGUUCCCUGCUGCUGUCUGCGCCCGCGCUCCCCUCCAGUCCUCCGGGACGCACCUUAGCUCUGGAAAAGGCUCUCUUCUGUUCCGGACUUCCAUUCCCCACAGCUGGCUCUGUCCUCUAGCUUUUCCUUUCCAGAUGCUCUGCGUCCAUUCUGUGUCAUUUCUGUGACCAGAAGUGGUCCUUUCCUAACGGGUGCGAUGUCUCCGGCCGUCUCUGAGACCGUGGACGUCAGGAGUUCUGAGCUGUCCUCGGGCCCUUGCCCUGCCCUCUUGCAGGUGCCGAGGGGACCGUCCCUCGCUUCUCACAGAGGGAGGCGCUGCUGGGGCGGACAGAGGCUGGGCCUGUUGGGCAGCGCAUACCUGUGGGUGGCGUCUCAGGGGGCGGCUCCUGCUCAAGGGCGGAGGGGCUCCCUGUUCAGGGAGCCCUCAGCCACCCCCUGCCGCUGCCCCCCUGAGCCCCACCAGGCUCUGGGGACACGGACUGCCAGCUUUCCCCUGGAAUUUGCCCUUCCUGGAUUCUGGGGGCAGACGUUUACCUCUCUGUUUCUGUGCGUUGCUGGAAGACAAUUCCAAUGAGACCUCAUUGCUGGAAGCUAGUCUGCACCUCUAUGAACCAGGUGAGGGCCCAGCACAGCCGGGCUGCAUGGGGCCUGGUGGGAGGAGUGGCUGGGUCUGACAGGCCCCCUGUGCACCCACCUCUGCAUGAAUACAGCAGGGCCAGGGCACCCUUCCGCCAAACCCUGGCCUAAGCACCACUUACCACACGACCUUGGCCAAAUUAAGGGUCCUCUCUGAGCCUUCACUUUCUCAUCUAUAAAACAGGUAAGUAUAGACCAACAAAACAGCCCAGAAACAAACCCUCACACUAUAGUCAGGGAUGCUUGACAAGGGUGAUGUCUUUGCUUUUUAAUACACUGUCUAGGUUUGUCACAACUUUCCUGCCAAGAAGCAAGCGUCUUCUAAUUUCAUGCCUGCAGUCACCGUCCACAGCGAUUUUAGAGCCAAGAGGAAGAAACCUGUCACGGCUCCCACCUUUUCCCCUGCUAUUUGUCAUGAAGUGAUGGGGCCGGAUGCCAUGAUCUUACUUUUUUAAAUAUUGAGUUUCAAGUUGGCUUUUUCACAGAUUAUUGAGGAAAUGCAAAUAAAAACCACAAAUAAGAUAUGACCUCACACUUAUUAGGAUGGCUACUGUCAAACAUUGUUCAGUUGCUUCAGGUCAGUUCAGUCCAGUCGCUCAGUCGUGUCCUGCAGCACACCAGGCUUCUCUGUCCAUCACCAACUCCCAGAGUUUACUCAAACUCAU